This 253-nucleotide ribosomal RNA is filed under the name uncultured bacterium. Its description in RNAcentral is "partial 16S ribosomal RNA". It matches the Rfam family "Bacterial small subunit ribosomal RNA", at positions 524 to 776 of the family's 1533-position model. The record is from RNAcentral.
UACGUAGGGUGCAGGCGUUAAUCGGAAUUACUGGGCGUAAAGCGUGCGCAGGCGGCUCCUUAAGUCAGAUGUGAAAUCCCCGGGCUUAACCUGGGAACCGCGUUUGAAACUGGGGGGCUUGAGUGUGGAAGAGGGGGGUGGAAUUCCAGGUGUAGCAGUGAAAUGCGUAGAGAUCUGGAGGAACACCGAUGGCGAAGGCAGCCCCCUGGGCCAACACUGACGCUCAUGCACGAAAGCGUGGGGAGCAAACAGG